This is a long non-coding RNA of Aethina tumida (small hive beetle), 649 nucleotides long. RefSeq lists it as uncharacterized. NCBI's taxonomy places the organism in Eukaryota, Metazoa, Arthropoda, Insecta, Coleoptera, Nitidulidae. The transcript has 4 exons. The record is from RefSeq and is a predicted model, not a curated record.
AUAUAAAACAUAUUACCGUAAAAUCAUCAAGUGAAUGGACAUAUGCAAAAAUUUGCAGCGAUUAUCCCUUAGAGAUUGAUUUUAUUCUUCAAGUUGAUUUGAAUGUUGAUGAUAAUGUUUCGGAUUAUUAUUGGAGUUUUGAUUACUUACACCUUUGCAAUGAAAAUGAUCAACGAUAUAUUGAACAUGAAACUGAAUAUUUUGAAAACGUAACAUGUAUAGAAGGCUAUAAAGAAAUGAAAGUUGACCCUAAUCAAACUAACAUUUAUAAACAACAUUGUGGCAAAGAAAUAUUAAAAGAGUGUUUAAAUGUUGAUGUAUGUCAUAUUUGCUGUCGGGGGACUUGCUACAUUGUUGAUCAAUAUUCUAGAACUGACAAAUUAGUAACUGCGAUUGCAGUCCUUGGAACACUGUUCAUUACCUUAUUAAUUAUAAAUGUGGUUCAAUUUUGGUGUUUUUGUAGAAGUAGGCCAAAUAAACAUCCAGAAAUUGAAGUGAACCAUUAUACACAGCCAAGUACUUGUCAUGAAUACGAGUACAUAAUGGAACCGAAUGUGUUUUAUCAAGCUCAUUGAAUUACAUAUGAAUAAUUUACUUUAAUUUACUUUAAAUUAAUUAAUUUAAAUAAAUAAAAAUUGGUUUAAUCAUU